Molecule: transfer RNA, 71 nt
Filed under: Pseudomonas putida
Lineage: Bacteria; Pseudomonadati; Pseudomonadota; Gammaproteobacteria; Pseudomonadales; Pseudomonadaceae
Also listed under: 2 other names
Description: tRNA-Ser(tga)
Rfam family: tRNA
About the family: Transfer RNA (tRNA) molecules are approximately 80 nucleotides in length. Their secondary structure includes four short double-helical elements and three loops (D, anti-codon, and T loops).
Source: RNAcentral
GGGGGUAUAGCUCAGUAGGUAGAGCGGUGGUCUUGAAAUCCACGCGUCGGGGGUUCGAUUCCCUCUGCCCA